CGGGGUGCACCAGGCGCGAAAACUUUACAAUGCUGGCAACAGCGAUAAGGGGACCUCGAGUGCCAGGAUACAAUCUUGGCUGUCGCGAUGCCUAAAAAGCAUUGCAUAGCAAGGGCCGGGCAAGACCGGUGCCAGCCGCCGCGGUAACACCGGCGGCUCGAGUGGUAACCGCUAUUAUUGGGUCUAAAGGGUCUGUAGCCGGCCGGAUAAGUCUUUUGGGAAAUCCAGCUGCUCAACAGUUGGGCUUUCAGAAGAUACUGUUCGGCUCGAGACCGGGAGAGGUGAGAGGUACUUCAGGGGUAGGGGUGAAAUCUUGUAAUCCUUGAAGGACCACCAGUGGCGAAGGCGUCUCACCAGAACGGAUCUGACGGCAAGGGACGAAAGCUAGGGGCACGAACCGGAUUAGAUACCCGGGUAGUCCUAGCCGUAAACGAUACUCGCUAGGUGUCAGCCACGGUGCGACCGUGGUUGGUGCCGUAGGGAAGCCGUGAAGCGAGCCACCUGGGAAGUACGGCCGCAAGGCUGAAACUUAAAGGAAUCGGCGGGGGAGCAC
This 553-nucleotide ribosomal RNA is filed under the name uncultured archaeon. RNAcentral describes it as "bacterial SSU rRNA". It matches the Rfam family "Archaeal small subunit ribosomal RNA", at positions 326 to 879 of the family's 1478-position model. The record is from RNAcentral.